RNAcentral lists this small nucleolar RNA (131 nucleotides) under Merops nubicus (carmine bee-eater). RNAcentral describes it as "Small nucleolar RNA SNORA24". It matches the Rfam family "Small nucleolar RNA SNORA24". From Rfam's summary of the family: ACA24 is a member of the H/ACA class of snoRNA that guide the sites of modification of uridines to pseudouridines. The record is from Rfam by way of RNAcentral. Lineage: Eukaryota; Metazoa; Chordata; Aves; Coraciiformes; Meropidae.
AUCCAUGACUCCAUGGGGGCUGCCGCCCGUGGCUGUCUCCCUUCCUAGGCAUGGAAGAGCAAGUCCUUGCUGAUUGGCACAACUUUUACCUUCUUGUAGGUAUUAGUCGUUGACAAGAGCAAGUAACAGGC